Long non-coding RNA from Physeter macrocephalus (sperm whale), 710 nucleotides. RefSeq lists it as uncharacterized. Lineage: Eukaryota; Metazoa; Chordata; Mammalia; Artiodactyla; Physeteridae. The record is from RefSeq and is a predicted model, not a curated record. The transcript has 3 exons.
CGCCCCGGAGCCGGCCGGCGGGCGGUGGGAGUGGAGUGGGAGUGGGGAAAUCCAGGAGGGGCGGCCUCCGCCUCACCCCACCCCGUGUCCUGGGACUGAGCUUUUUCAGGGGCGGGGGUGGGGUGGCGUCUCUACUGGUCUGAGAUGCCGGCCGGCCGAGAAAGCGGCGAGGUGAGCGAGUGUGCGCGGAGCCACGUCUGUGGUGACCGCGCUGGCGGCGUCUGCAGUCCUGGAGACCAUACCCACCAGGGUUCCAGUCAAGUGGCACUGAAGGAGAGCCAGUGGAGGAAGAGACCAUCUCUCGGGAGCACUGCCCUCUUGCUGCACCAUUGCCCUCAGCCCCUCCUCACCACCUCUGUUCAAAAAUAACGCUGCCCAGGCCAGCUGAAGGCUCUGAUCACGGAAGUGCAGACUCUCUGCACUGGUGCAGGUUCUCACUCCUCUGGAGGGGGAUGCAGGGACAGCGCCACCCCCUUCCUCCAUCGGAGAGCUUGACAGAGGUCCUGGGCACUGGCUCCUGCUUCCUCACCCCCAGAGGCAGCCGCUGGUGACCUGCUGAAGGCUGGGGUCAAGCCAGAGGACUGUUGCCUGCAGAGCACUGUCACAGCAUUGGCCAGGGGGACAUGAGCACUUGGUCAGAAGCCUGGUGGCAGUCUGGGUGAGUCCUUCCAGCCCCAUGGUGUGGGUCCAGAUUUGUAACCGCCAGGCAG